UCCUCGGUAGCUCAAUUGGUAGAGCGUCCGGCUGUUAACCGGCAGGUUGUAGGUUCGAGUCCUACCCGAGGAG
This 73-nucleotide transfer RNA is filed under the name Ardenticatenia bacterium. Its description in RNAcentral is "tRNA-Asn". It matches the Rfam family "tRNA". From Rfam's summary of the family: Transfer RNA (tRNA) molecules are approximately 80 nucleotides in length. Their secondary structure includes four short double-helical elements and three loops (D, anti-codon, and T loops). The record is from RNAcentral. Lineage: Bacteria; Bacillati; Chloroflexota; Ardenticatenia.